This is a long non-coding RNA of Vespa crabro (European hornet), 1021 nucleotides long. RefSeq lists it as uncharacterized. The record is from RefSeq and is a predicted model, not a curated record. The transcript has 3 exons. Lineage: Eukaryota; Metazoa; Arthropoda; Insecta; Hymenoptera; Vespidae.
ACAAUUUUUCUAGAGCCCUCGACUCCGUCAAUAAGCGAAAAGUGAUGAUAUGUUUUUCUUGAUAAGUGAUCAUAUGACUUUGAAGAAUCUCUAGAAAAUAAUCUUUUUGAUAGUUGCAAGUAAAAUGUGCAUGCUAUAUUUAGGAUGCAACGAAUGCCUCAUGUCAAGCUUCAAACGUAUACAAUUCAGUGAUGACAGUUGAAGAAAGGAUUUACGAAGAAAAGCUGCUAGACUUGAUGCAGCAGAAUCGCAUUCGGUAAAAUUUGUAAAAUCUCUAUUAUAAACAAUCGAUCGAAGUAGAAAGAAAUGUAAAGAAGUGAAAAAUGAAGAAACGUUAUACGAUUAGAGAAUUUAGAAAACCCGAAAGUAGGGUGAAUUUUGCGGAUACAGAGAACGACGCUUGUCAGGAAGAUCUUGGAUAUUCGAGAGUAGAAACAUUGGAAAGGCAGGAAUAAAAUGUAUUAGAUUACCAUAAAUUGAUGAAAAAACAAAAACCUGAAUUUCAAAAAUGUUACAAGAAAAUUUACAAAAACAGCAGCAAUAGAAUGGAGUUACAAUUAUUAAGAAACAAGUGUCAGGAACGGUUUCAAGCGUAGCGUUUUUAUAUCAUUACAGUGUCUGAAAAUUGUUAAUCGACAAGCUGUAAAUAAAGCGGAAAAAUGUAAAUGAAGUCAAUGCCAAAUACUUCUCCAAUACGGCUGGUUUUUUUUUUUUUUAAUGGAAGUUUCUAUUAAACAUACGUAUAUAUAAACUUUAUUAGAUUUAAAAAUGUUGUUAUUUAACAUUUAAACAAAAAUGUCAAGUAAUUUAUUUAUAUUUCCUUAAGCAAUCGAAUGACAAACGAAAGAAUACAAGAUUCCGACUGAUUUAGUUUCGUGUGCAUGCUGCUGCGCGCGCGGAUGUGUGUGUGCGCGUGUACACCCUUUUUUUUUUUUCAAGAAAAAUCAUGCAUACAAUAGAAUUCUCACUUGUCAGAUGAAACAUUGAUUUUUUCUUAUAUGAAGCCAUGAUUAAUAACUCA